GACGAACGCUGGCGGCGUGCCUAAUACAUGCAAGUCGAGCGGACGAAUCGAAAGCUUGCUUUUGAUUCGUUAGCGGCGGACGGGUGAGUAACACGUGGGCAACCUGCCCUGUAGACGGGGAUAACACCGAGAAAUCGGUGCUAAUACCGGAUAACACGAAAUGUCACAUGACGUUUCGUUGAAAGACGGCGCAAGCUGUCGCUACAGGAUGGGCCCGCGGCGCAUUAGCUAGUUGGUGAGGUAACGGCUCACCAAGGCGACGAUGCGUAGCCGACCUGAGAGGGGGAUCGGCCACACUGGGACUGAGACACGGCCCAGACUCCUACGGGAGGCAGCAGUAGGGAAUCUUCCGCAAUGGACGAAAGUCUGACGGAGCAACGCCGCGUGAGCGAAGAAGGCCUUCGGGUCGUAAAGCUCUGUUGUUAGGGAAGAACAAGUAACGCAGUAACUGGCGUUACCGUGACGGUACCUAACGAGAAAGCCACGGCUAACUACGUG
RNAcentral lists this ribosomal RNA (498 nucleotides) under uncultured bacterium. Its description in RNAcentral is "partial 16S ribosomal RNA". It matches the Rfam family "Bacterial small subunit ribosomal RNA", at positions 28 to 507 of the family's 1533-position model. The record is from RNAcentral.